Molecule: ribosomal RNA, 534 nt
Filed under: Triticum aestivum (bread wheat)
Lineage: Eukaryota; Viridiplantae; Streptophyta; Magnoliopsida; Poales; Poaceae
Description: partial small subunit ribosomal RNA
Source: RNAcentral
AUGGAUGCAAGAAUGGAAGAAGUUGCCAUAAAGGAACAGGAGGGAAUGAAACAUCUAGCUGAACUUGCGAAGCAGGCUGCUAUCAUGGGAAACCUAGGUAACCUCUAUGUUGAGCGAUACUUGAACAAAACAUACAGAGUGCCUCAGCAAACAGGACUUCAAUGGGUCAUGAAGUAUUACGGUCGGCCUAGAUACUUUUAUAAAAUGUUUCGAAUGGGCACUGAUGUUUUCAUGGCACUUCAUGAUUUGCUUGUCUCUGCAUAUGGUUUGACAUCAACCACUAAUGUUUCAUCAAUUGAAUCACUGGCCAUGUUCUUAUGGAUUGUUGGAGGCCCUCAAUCAUUUUCUCAAGCUGAGAACCGUUUUGUACGGUCACUUUGGACAGUUCAUACAAAUUUUAAGGAAGUUUUGUUAUGUUUGCGCAAGUUAGAGAAAGAUAACAUCAAACCUACAGAUCCUACUUUUAUCCAUGAGCAUGAAAAGAUUAAGAAGAGCGUUUCUGGCCUCAUUUCAAAGGCGCUAUUGGUGCCAUAG